RNAcentral lists this ribosomal RNA (1464 nucleotides) under metagenome. Its description in RNAcentral is "bacterial SSU rRNA". It matches the Rfam family "Bacterial small subunit ribosomal RNA". The record is from RNAcentral.
UCCCAAGUCGAACGAGGGGUUGACGCAAGUUGGCACCUAGUGGCGGAAGGGUUAGUAAUACAUGGGUAACGUACCUUCAACAUCGGGAUAACGGUUGGAAACGAUCGCUAAUACCGGAUGAGGUGAGACAAGGCAUCUUGUUUUUAUCAAAGGGGGGGACCGCAAGGCCUUCUGGUUGAAGAGCGGCUCAUGGGAUAUCAGCUAGUUGGUGUGGUAAAAGCGCACCAAGGCUAAGACGUCUAGGCGGAUUGAGAGAUUGACCGCCAACACUGGGACUGAGACACUGCCCAGACUCCUACGGGAGGCUGCAGUCGAGGAUCAUUCGCAAUGGGCGCAAGCCUGACGAUGCGACGCCGUGUGAACGAAGAAGGCCUUCGGGUUGUAAAGUUCUUUCGCUUGGGAGCAAGAGAGGAUGGCUAACACCCAUCUGAUUUGAUAGUACUAGGUAAAGAAGCACCGGCUAACUCCGUGCCAGCAGCUGCGGUAAUACGGAGGGUGCAAGCAUUAAUCGGAUUGACUGGGCGUAAAGGGCGCGUAGGAGGGAUGGGUAGUCAGAUGUGAAAUACCGACGCUUAACGUCGGAAUUGCAUUUGAUACUCCCAUUCUAGAGGGUGGGCGGAGAAAAUGGAAUUCCACAAGUAGCGGUGAAAUGCGUAGAUAUGUGGAAGAACACCGGUGGCGAAGGCGAUUUUCUAGCUUACUCCUGACUCUGAGGCGCGAAAGCAAGGGGAGCAAACAGGAUUAGAUACCCUGGUAGUCCUUGCCGUAAACGAUGUAUACUAGGUGUAGUCGGACUCAACCCCGGCUGUGCCGGAGCUAACGCGUUAAGUAUACCGCCUGGGGAGUACGCUCGCAAGGGUGAAACUCAAAAGAAUUGACGGGGACCCGCACGAGCAGUGGAGCAUGUGGUUUAAUUCGAUGCAACGCGAAGAACCUUACCCAGGCUUGACAUGCAGAGGACGUCACCAGAGAUGGUGAUUCCCUUCGGGGUCUCUGCACAGGUGCUGCAUGGCUGUCGUCAGCUCGUGCCGUGAGGUGUUGGGUUAAGUCCCGCAACGAGCGCAACCCUUGUCACUAGUUGCCAACAUUUAAAAGAUGGGAACUCUAGUGAGACUGCCUAGGUUAACUAGGAGGAAGGUGAGGAUGACGUCAAGUCCGCAUGGCCCUUAUGUCUGGGGCUACACACGUGCUACAAUGGCCGGUACAGAGGGCAGCGAAACCGAGAGGUGGAGCAAAUCUCAUAAAACCGGUCCCAGUUCAGAUUGUAGUCUGCAACUCGACUACAUGAAGUUGGAAUUGCUAGUAAUGGCGUGUCAGCAAUAACGCCGUGAAUACGUUCCCGGGUCUUGUACACACCGCCCGUCACAUCAUGGGAGUUGGUUUUACCCGAAGUCGCUGACUCAACCGCAAGGGGAGAGGCGCCUAAGGUGAGGCCGAUGACUGGGAUUAAGUCGUAACAAGGUA